CAGAGGCUGCUGACUGUCCAUCACUGCUAAUUCUCUGCAGAUACUUGGCUGCUUAGCUGAGAUGACAUCUACACUUCCCAGCAUCCCUUGCAGGUUAUCUCAAUCAACAUGCACACACACCACCACCACCACCACCACCACCAAUGACAACAACAUCUAUAAGAUGGAGAAACUGAGGUUAAGUAACUCGCCCAAGGUCACACAGCUAGUAGAUCGCAGUGACAAGACUUGAGUGCAGAAAACCUGAUUCCAAAGUCCACAGGCUUAACCACUACUCCAUGCUGCCAUCUGGAGGAAGAGGAAAGGGAACCGACAAGCUAUUUCCAGGGCAUCACAAACACCUAAUGAAAUGUGGACAUUUCACUACAAAAGAACCCAGCUGGCUCACAAAGACCCAACCAACUAGUUGCACUGUUUUUUGUGUUAUUUCUA
Molecule: long non-coding RNA, 432 nt
Organism: Pongo pygmaeus (Bornean orangutan)
Lineage: Eukaryota; Metazoa; Chordata; Mammalia; Primates; Hominidae
Exons: 3
Source: RefSeq, a predicted model, not a curated record